Panicum virgatum (switchgrass) is the source of this 664-nucleotide long non-coding RNA. RefSeq lists it as uncharacterized. The transcript has 2 exons. The record is from RefSeq and is a predicted model, not a curated record. Lineage: Eukaryota; Viridiplantae; Streptophyta; Magnoliopsida; Poales; Poaceae.
GCAACCGAUGCACGUGCAGUUGAGUGAGGAUGUGGAUCGGACCAGCGAGCGCAGCUGCACAGAGGCUGCUGUGCUGUGGGCGGUGCUGGAGGUGAAACGAAGAGGCAGAGAGGAGAGCAUGGGCUGGUGUGGUCGUGUGGACCCAUUGUCCUUGAAGGGCAGCGAUCAGCAUAGUUUGCUCUGCGAUUCUAAAAUUGCAGCUCCUAUUGAAGACUGAGAUAGUUCUCGGCAGCUAGACCCCCAGAUUACACUACAAGAUAAAAAAAAUCCAUCAAAUUUAGAUGGUCCCUAACACGGUAAGAUCCAGCCAAGUUGAUGCUGCCUGCAAGGUGUUCGAUAAAAUGAAGGACCCAAGGUUGAUUUACAGGGUUGAAAGCUUACUAAUUCAGUGGAUGGUCUUGAUAUUGGCAGCUUGUUUCACAGCUAAGCCAGACAUGAUGCAUAUGACCAGAAACAAACCUAGGAAAGAAUGCGCGCAAAGAAUUAUAUAUUCGCUUGCUACCGCCAGGAUGUAUAUAUGCUUAGUUCUUUGAACUUUCAUGACAAGGAAACAUUAAAGAGGUGCAUGUAUGCUAAUAAUGUCAACAGAGUAGAUGCAACCAUAUGAAAAAAUGUAUAAAACUGUAAUCCUUCUUGUUGGUACAGUAUAGAUUAGCUUUCCAUA